Molecule: ribosomal RNA, 108 nt
Filed under: Pseudoalteromonas arctica
Lineage: Bacteria; Pseudomonadati; Pseudomonadota; Gammaproteobacteria; Alteromonadales; Pseudoalteromonadaceae
Also listed under: 1 other name
Description: partial 16S ribosomal RNA
Rfam family: Bacterial small subunit ribosomal RNA
Source: RNAcentral
UAGUCUAACCCUCGGGAGGACGUUUACCACGGAGUGAUUCAUGACUGGGGUGAAGUCGUAACAAGGUAGCCCUAGGGGAACCUGGGGCUGGAUCACCUCCUUAUACGA